GGAAGGAGCCUCCCUUGAGGAAAUGCCUCCAGGAGAUCCAGCUGUUUCUCCCAGAACUGCUGCUGCAAGGACAUCAUGGCUGUUUGUGAUCUCAUCUAGAAAGUUCUGUCACAUUAUGUUGUUCUAGUCACCGGUGUGUCACGAAGCCUGGCCAAAACUCAAGAAGAGGGCAAACUUCACUGGCCAGUGGGAAGACUGGCAAGGGUACACAAGGCCUUUUCAAUCGUUGCUAAGGUUAAUAUAUAUGUGCCACCAAAGGAAUAGAAUGGCUGGAUUUAAACGGAGAAAAGCAAAAUGACUCCGAAAGGAUAAAUCUGACUUAACAAGGUCAUCAGGGAAAAUAAUUAAGUGAAAGAAAUGAAAUCUAACAGAAAAAAAAAGGCAGCAGGGAAGUUGGAAGUCUUGAGAAACACACUGAGUGAUCCAAGACCAUCACAUCUGGGCUUGCUGACCUUCCGUACCACAGGUAAGCGAUGUUAGCAGAAGCCGGCAAU
Grammomys surdaster is the source of this 494-nucleotide long non-coding RNA. RefSeq lists it as uncharacterized. The record is from RefSeq and is a predicted model, not a curated record. The transcript has 3 exons. NCBI's taxonomy places the organism in Eukaryota, Metazoa, Chordata, Mammalia, Rodentia, Muridae.